This 57-nucleotide transfer RNA is filed under the name Cynops pyrrhogaster (Japanese firebelly newt). RNAcentral describes it as "partial tRNA-Ile". Lineage: Eukaryota; Metazoa; Chordata; Amphibia; Caudata; Salamandridae. The record is from RNAcentral.
GGACAUGUGCCCGAAAGAUAAGGAUCACUUUGAUAGAGUGAGUUAUAGGGGUUCAAA